Non-coding RNA from Helianthus annuus (common sunflower), 94 nucleotides. The record is from Rfam. NCBI's taxonomy places the organism in Eukaryota, Viridiplantae, Streptophyta, Magnoliopsida, Asterales, Asteraceae.
UUGCUAUGAUGAAACAUCAAAUGAGAUUGUUUGAGAGUUUUGAUGCUCUGUGAAACGUCGACGUUUAUGUCGAUCUGAGCGGUUACCUGAGCAA